RNAcentral lists this long non-coding RNA (748 nucleotides) under Homo sapiens (human). RNAcentral's name for it is "non-protein coding lnc-ALX3-4:1". Lineage: Eukaryota; Metazoa; Chordata; Mammalia; Primates; Hominidae. The record is from RNAcentral.
CCAUAGAGAGAGAAGUGUUUAUCCGAAAGUCCAUAAUACUGUCUUUCUUCCCAGUACACUUUCAAGUCAGCUUUCAAGUCUUAAGUUGUUUGUGGAUUCUGAUGGCCAACAAGAGGGUUGUUUCUGGUCCCCUAACCCACUCCCUUUCUUUACCUUGCUCUGCAAUCUCAAUCUCCCGGCGUCCAAAUUCUGCCUGCUUGAUGUUCUUCACACAGAAAUUGCUGCUGCCCUUGGAGUUGGUUUGCUGCUUCUCUCGGGGAGAAACCUCAUCAUCAGAGCUAUCUGUGUAGGAUGCAGCUAGAGCCAGGAAAGAAAAAAACAAGGAUAGAAAAACCUCAGUGGUCCCCAACUCUACAGAGUGCAGUCCCCAAGGGACUUGGCACCUAAGCAUUAGUAGUUCCAACAAGUUACCAGGUGUUGCUGAUGCUGCUAGUCAGAGGAUCACACUUUGAGAACCAUGGAUAUAGACAAAAGUGAUAAGAUAGUCUUACAAGGGAUUUUACACUAAGUUGUGCUCAAGGAAUAGAGAAAGAAAGAAAUGGCACAAAAGGCAAACAGCUCUGGUUCUACUGAUAGCCCUGGGAAAGUCUGUCAAAAUGAUCAACUUUAAAAAGUGGUUUCACAUAAAAGCUAAAAAUACCACUUAUCUGACAGAUAUGCAAGAGGAUAUACAACAAUCAUUCCUUACCUCUCAAAUCACUUCUUUCCUCUCUGAAUUGAGUACUUUCCUCAUCACGGUUUCUGCUAG